Molecule: ribosomal RNA, 403 nt
Filed under: uncultured bacterium
Lineage: Bacteria
Description: partial 16S ribosomal RNA
Rfam family: Bacterial small subunit ribosomal RNA
Source: RNAcentral
AUUGAACGCUGGCGGCAGGCCUAACACAUGCAAGUCGAGCGAGCGGCGGACGGGUGUGUAAUGUAUGGGGACUGCCCGAUAGCGGGGGAUAACUACUGGAAACGGUAGCUAAUACCGCAUACUAUCGGAUAACCCAUAUGGGAUUAGCUAGUAGGUGGGGUAAUGGCUCACCUAGGCGACGAACCCUCGCUGGUCUGAGAGGAUGAUCAGCCACACUGGGACUGGGAACCGGCCCAGACUCCUACGGAGGCGGCGGUGGGGAAUAUUGCACAAUGGGCGCAAGCCUGAGGCAGCCAUGCGGCGGGUAUGAAGAAGGCCCUAGGGUUGUAAAGUACGUUCAGUCGGGAGGCGUUACCGACAGAAGAAGCACCGGCUAACUCCGUGCCAGCAGCCGCGGUAAUUC